AACUUUCAACAACGGAUCUCUUGGCUCUCGCAUCGAUGAAGAACGCAGUGAAAUGCGAUAAGUAAUGUGAAUUGCAGAAUUCAGUGAAUCAUCGAAUCUUUGAACGCACCUUGCGCCCUUUGGCUAUUCUGAAGGGCAUGCCUGUUUGAGCAUCAUAAACAUCUCAACUCUCACGGUUUCCUGUGAUGAGAUUGGACUUUGGGGGUCUUGUUGGCUUGUGUUCAGCUCCCUCAAAUCUAUCAGCUUCCCAGUGUUUGGCAGCAUCACAGGUGUGAUAAAUAUCUACGCUUGUGGUUCUUUGCCAGGUCUGUCCUCUCCUUGCAGAGGGCUCGCUGGAGCUCAUAGAUGUCUCUCCUUGGUGGAGACAGCUGUUUGAAGUUUGGUCUCAAAUCAGGUAGGAUUACCCGCUGAACUUAAGCAUAUCAAUAAGCGGAGGCU
Molecule: unclassified non-coding RNA, 438 nt
Filed under: uncultured Thelephoraceae
Lineage: Eukaryota; Fungi; Basidiomycota; Agaricomycetes; Thelephorales; Thelephoraceae
Description: sequence contains ITS2
Rfam family: 5.8S ribosomal RNA (bases 1-155)
Source: RNAcentral